UCAUCCAGUAGGAUAAUUCUGAUCUGUUAGGUCCACUGGACCUGCAGAUUUGAAUCUAUGAUGACUGCGGAACAUGAACCAUGUGAGUUAAAUCUCCGCGGGGAGCUGGGUCUUAGCAACGCCUCACUCCCAAGUCUGAC
Molecule: small nucleolar RNA, 140 nt
Organism: Aplysia californica (California sea hare)
Lineage: Eukaryota; Metazoa; Mollusca; Gastropoda; Aplysiida; Aplysiidae
Product: U8 small nucleolar RNA
Exons: 1
Source: RefSeq, a predicted model, not a curated record